ACACUGGCAGAAGGGACCCUGAGCGAACCACAGGGACGCAAGAGGAAGAGGUGGUUCCGCAGGUCAGGCACUCGGGUCUGCCUGCCCUCUCUGUUCCCGCCUCCUCUUGACCUUUCGCCCCCUUCCUCGUAGCUUCCUAAUAUCAUCUUGGAGCACUAGAAUUUUCAGGGGCUCUGACUCUGAGUCCCAGAACCCUGUACCCGCCCUGUGGACAAUGCCGAGCGCGAUGCAGCCGGGCUCUGGAGCCUGACCCGGGGAGGCCGGAUUCAGCAUUUGGACAGCGGCUCGGGGGCCGGUUUGCGGCCCAAAGAGUUUGCAGGUGCACCGCCCUGGAUGAGGCGAGCCUUCUCUCCUCAGACAUGGUGGGAUGUACUCUGAUCUAGAGCAGGCAGCUGGCCAGAGGCCCACAGGGAGCUCAGUGAUUGGCCUCAGAUGACCUUGGGGACAAAGAUUGUCCUGUGAAGGGAAGUGAUGGCACAGGCUCUGAUCAGCUCUUCUGGGAACAGACAGAGAAGUGAGAAUUCCUGCCAAAGCCACAGGAUGAACACAGAGCCAAGAACCUGAACCAGAAAAAUCCAGCAGGAAAGGAACCUGCACUAGCCACCAUCCUGAGGCUGCUGUACAGGGAGCAAUCCUACCGCAGGGACUUGGCAGGAGACCAGGGGCCUGCUCCCCAGUCCUCCUCGAGGGCCUCUGUCACCGACCUGCUUGUCUAGGAUCUCCUUUCUUUCUGCUUGUGCCACAUCUUUCAGGCCUGUUCUGGGUCUGAUGUGCUAUAGAACACUCUGUUCAGGCACUUGGGAAAUAGAGACUUCAUCACCAGCAUUUCCACCCCCAAAGAACUAGGCAGCACACUGGGAAGUUGCCAAAGGAAGGGACUCCAGCCUCCCAGGAGUUAACAACAUUUCUCCCCAGCUAUCCUCCCCUUGGUGCUCCUCUUCCUCCCUCCUCCUGCUCACAGCAGGCAGGGCCUGGAACCAGGAGCCAUGCUGCUGUGCUGUUGCCAGGGGAGCUGGGAGGCAGAUCGGAGCUAUGCAGGGAAAAGGCUCGGCCUGUCAGAGUGUCUGAGAUGAACCACCGCCAUCCCUGUGCAGCUGGGCUCCAUGUGUCUCAGGGCUCUUGUUCUGUGCCUGAGAACGGUGAAGCCCAGCGAGGUUCAAGGGCACACUCGCUAUUCAUCAGUCGGGGGUUCUUGACGGUCCUGCCUCUCCCAGGGAUGGGUUCCCCCCUUCCUCUUUCUCUCCCUCCUAUGAUACAUUCCUGGGUGCCUGUGGUGAGGACUGCACACCCCCUUCUCCACAGCCCCCCCAAACCCUGAAUCAACUCCUAUUAAGGAGGCCAGGCGAGACAGGGACAAUGGCUUCAAGAAAUCAUUCAGGCGGGACCUCAGUCACAUUCGCAUGCCCGUCACUCCCAGAGCCCCUGUAGAUCCCACUCUGCUGUGAUUCAGGGACCCUUGGGCCCCCAGCUUGCACAUGCCUAGACAGGAGCAGGCCACUAGGUGCUGCCCUACACAACAGGCCAGUGCAGUGUUUGUUCUCAGGGACCCUGGGGCCUCCAUCCCACUGGCUGGAUAGUGUGUGCAGUCAGUUGGAGAGCAGAAACUACAAUAUUUUCUGAAAUGUGGUAAUAUCAAGAUAUAAGAGGCACAUAUACGUGAUGACUAAUUUCACUUCAGAUAUACUGGAAAAGUUUGCUAAGAACAUGGACAAAGACCUGUGGUUGAGUAACGAGUCAUUUCAUUCCAUGGAAUAUUACACACCUGUAAGACUGUGGUAGAUCUACCUCUGCAUGCAGGCUGAUAGGGAAGGUUGCUAAUAUACUUAAGUGAAUAGAAUAAAGUACAAAACAGUCAA
This 1856-nucleotide long non-coding RNA is filed under the name Mus musculus (house mouse). RNAcentral's name for it is "Mir9-3 host gene". Lineage: Eukaryota; Metazoa; Chordata; Mammalia; Rodentia; Muridae. The record is from RNAcentral.